RNAcentral lists this ribosomal RNA (1037 nucleotides) under Sphingobacterium mizutaii. Its description in RNAcentral is "bacterial SSU rRNA". It matches the Rfam family "Bacterial small subunit ribosomal RNA", at positions 418 to 1455 of the family's 1533-position model. The record is from RNAcentral. Lineage: Bacteria; Pseudomonadati; Bacteroidota; Sphingobacteriia; Sphingobacteriales; Sphingobacteriaceae.
UGGGUUUGUAAACUGCUUUUGUCAGGGGAAAUAAAACCCCCUCCUACGAAGUAGGGGGGCUGAAUGUACCUGAAAGAAUAAGGAUCGGCUAACUCCGUGCCAGCAGCCGCGGUAAUACGGAGGAUCCCGAGCGUUAUCCGGAUUUAUUGGGUUUAAAGGGUGCGUAGGCGGCUCAUUAAGUCAGGGGUGAAAUACGGCAGCUCAACUGUCCGCAGUGCCUUUGAUACUGAUGAGCUUGAAUGCGGUUGAAGACGGCGGAAUGAGACAAGUAGCGGUGAAAUGCAUAGAUAUGUCUCAGAACACCGAUUGCGAAGGCAGCUGUCUAAGCCGUUAUUGACGCUGAUGCACGAAAGCGUGGGGAUCGAACAGGAUUAGAUACCCUGGUAGUCCACGCCCUAAACGAUGAUAACUCGAUGUUUGCAAUAUACCGUAAGCGUCCAAGCGAAAGCGUUAAGUUAUCCACCUGGGGAGUACGCCCGCAAGGGUGAAACUCAAAGGAAUUGACGGGGGCCCGCACAAGCGGAGGAGCAUGUGGUUUAAUUCGAUGAUACGCGAGGAACCUUACCCGGGCUUGAAAGUUACUGAAGCAUCCAGAGACGGAUGCGUCCUUCGGGACAGGAAACUAGGUGCUGCAUGGCUGUCGUCAGCUCGUGCCGUGAGGUGUUGGGUUAAGUCCCGCAACGAGCGCAACCCCUAUGUUUAGUUGCCAGCACGUUAAGGUGGGGACUCUAAACAGACUGCCUGCGCAAGCAGAGAGGAAGGCGGGGACGACGUCAAGUCAUCAUGGCCCUUACGUCCGGGGCUACACACGUGCUACAAUGGAUGGUACAGCGGGCAGCUACACAGCAAUGUGAUGCCAAUCUCGAAAAGCCAUUCACAGUUCGGAUCGGGGUCUGCAACUCGACCCCGUGAAGUUGGAUUCGCUAGUAAUCGCGUAUCAGCAAUGACGCGGUGAAUACGUUCCCGGGCCUUGUACACACACGCCCGUCAAGCCAUGAAAGCUGGGGGUACCUAAAGCAUGUAACCGCAAGGAGCGG